This 429-nucleotide ribosomal RNA is filed under the name Chloroflexota bacterium. Its description in RNAcentral is "Chloroflexi bacterium partial 16S ribosomal RNA". It matches the Rfam family "Bacterial small subunit ribosomal RNA", at positions 355 to 776 of the family's 1533-position model. Lineage: Bacteria; Bacillati; Chloroflexota. The record is from RNAcentral.
UGGGGAAUAUUGCACAAUGGGCGCAAGCCUGAUGCAGCCAUGCCGCGUGUAUGAAGAAGGCCUUCGGGUUGUAAAGUACUUUCAGUCGGGAGGAAGGUGUCAAGGUUAAUAACCUUGGCAAUUGACGUUACCGACAGAAGAAGCACCGGCUAACUCCGUGCCAGCAGCCGCGGUAAUACGGAGGGUGCAAGCGUUAAUCGGAAUUACUGGGCGUAAAGCGCACGCAGGCGGUUGAUUGAGUCAGAUGUGGAAUCCCCGGGCUUAACCCGGGAAUUGCAUCUGAUACUGGUCAGCUAGAGUCUUGUAGAGGGGGGUAGAAUUCCAUGUGUAGCGGUGAAAUGCGUAGAGAUGUGGAGGAAUACCGGUGGCGAAGGCGGCCCCCUGGACAAAGACUGACGCUCAGGUGCGAAAGCGUGGGGAGCAAACAGG